Molecule: ribosomal RNA, 253 nt
Filed under: uncultured bacterium
Lineage: Bacteria
Description: partial 16S ribosomal RNA
Rfam family: Bacterial small subunit ribosomal RNA
Source: RNAcentral
UACGUAGGGUGCAAGCGUUAAUCGGAAUUACUGGGCGUAAAGCGUGCGCAGGCGGUUGUGCAAGACAGAUGUGAAAUCCCCGGGCUUAACCUGGGAACUGCAUUUGUGACUGCAAGGCUAGAGUACGGUAGAGGGGGAUGGAAUUCCGCGUGUAGCAGUGAAAUGCGUAGAUAUGCGGAGGAACACCGAUGGCGAAGGCAAUCCCCUGGACCUGUACUGACGCUCAUGCACGAAAGCGUGGGGAGCAAACAGG